GACGAACGCUGGCGGCGUGCUUAACACAUGCAAGUCGAACGGAAAGGCCUUGCUUUUGUGGGGUGCUCGAGUGGCGAACGGGUGAGUAACACGUGAGUAACCUGCCCUUUACUUUGGGAUAACUUCAGGAAACUGGGGCUAAUACCGGAUAUGAGCUCCUUCUGCAUGGUGGGUGUUGGAAAGUUUCGGCGGUUGGUGAUGGACGCGCGGCUUAUCAGCUUGUUGGUGGGGUAGUGGCUUACCAAGGCUUGGACGGGUAGCCGGCCUGAGAGGGUGACCGGCCACAUUGGGACUGAGAUACGGCCAGGACUCCUACGGGAGGAAUCAGUGGGAAAUAGUGCAAACUGGGCGGAAGGCUGAUGCAGGAACGCCGCGUGCGGGAUGACGGCCGGCGGGUUGUAAACCGCUUGCGCCUGUGACGAAGCGUGAGUGACGGUAAUGGGUAAAGAAGCAACGGCUAACUACGUG
This 468-nucleotide ribosomal RNA is filed under the name uncultured bacterium. RNAcentral's name for it is "partial 16S ribosomal RNA". It matches the Rfam family "Bacterial small subunit ribosomal RNA", at positions 28 to 507 of the family's 1533-position model. The record is from RNAcentral.